CGACUUGAAAUCGGGCGCAGACAGAGCAGACUGAGAUGGAGUGUGUAUGUGUGUGUGUGUGUGUGUGUGUGUGUGUGUGCGUGUGUGUGUGUGUGUGUGUGUGGGGCAGAAUUUACUACUAAAGGAUCAGGCAGAAAUCAUAUCCAGAGACACAAAGCGUAAAGUGUAAACACAGCCAGUAUGAACAUACACAUCAGCACGAGAAACAAAAAUACGGGACGAUUCUGUAAGCCACUGGAACCGGAGCGCUGACCUGAGUUUGACACUGAGAAUGAUAAUGAGCACCAACAAACUUGAUUCGUUCACCUUUAGUAUGACCAUGGUCCUAGUAGAGGACGAAUACACCCUGAUUAGGGGCAAUUUAGAUAGCAUAAGCAUUCCACCUAGUGGCAUGUUUUUUUGGAUUUGGGAGGAAACCGGAGAAUCCGGAGGACAUGGGCAUGGAGAGAACAUGUGAAACUCCGUAACCCGAGCUCAGGUUUGACCCCGGAGCUGUGAGGUGGAAACUAUGAGAAGUGAUGAACUUUGCUGUUAGCACCUGUUAUUUCCUGUCGGUGCUGAUCAUCAACAUUAGCCAACACCUUACUGGCUAACACUACAAACCGUACGUCUGUAUACUUUAGUACAGGACUGGUGGUUAACGGAAAAAGGUGGCUAACUUUUUUUUUUUUUUUUUUUACAGGAUACCAGUACCAAAACUUCAAGUACUUCAUGUACAGUAGUGCUUGAAAGUUCGUGAAAGAAUUUUCUAUAUAUCUGCAUACGUAUGACCUACUAAAACAUCAUCGGAUUUUCACACAAAGAGAACCCAAUUAAACACAGGAGACGAAAAUAUUAUAGUUCGACCUCUGGAAAAGACGUGUUGACGUUCAUGUGACAAUACCGUUUCUCAUAGGGAGCCGUCCUACACACGACUGGUCGUGACACACACUCUGCCUACUAACCAGCAGAGCACGAGUCAGAACAGACGGAACCCACGAACACACAGGCGGCACCCAUUCAUCUCUGUUACUCUGCAAAAAAAAAAAGUACAGGAAGGGUCACAGGGGAGCCUGGAGGUUAUCCCAGGGGUUUCAGGGCACAGGUCGGGGGACACCCUGGACUGGGUGCCAACCCAUCACAAGGCACAAUCACACUCACACACACACACACACACACACACACCCACUCAUACACUACGGACAAUUUAGAGAUGCCAGUUAGCCUACAGCGCACGUCUUUGGACUGGGGGAGGAAACCGGAGUAACCGGAGGAAACCCCCGAAGCACGGGGAGAACAUGCAAACUCCGCACACACACAGGGCAGAAGCGGGAAUUGCACCCCCAACCCCACUGUGCCACCAUGCCCCCCAGUGAGGAUCACAGUGAGUCCAGGUCAAAGGUUACUGAGAGUAGUGAGAAAGAGACAUCAUGUCAAGAGAUGUAUAAUGUGUCGGGGCACCACAAGCCACCAGCACAGCUUCCAUUCACCUUCUCAUAGAUUCUUCAAUUCUCUCGAGCAGGGAACACCAUUUUUCCACCAGAUGAUCUUCUCUCAGGUGGUGUUUCAAUGAUGGCGGUAGAGAGCACUCCAAGAUCGACCAGCGGUGCGAAACUGGGUCGAGAUUUGAUGACUGUAAAGACCGUAGCAUAUCAUUUACCUUAUCCUUAUCCUCAUCCAAGCUCCUUACACACUGUGGAUGGGGGUGGAGUCAUGCUGGAAGAGACCACGCCCAUCAGGAUGGAAAGGUUUCGUCAUAGGAUUUGGCUGCGUCUCAAUCAGCUCCCUAGCGCCCUAGGUGGUGAAUCAGUAUAUCACGUACACUAGUUCGGGGACUACUAAGGACCCUGGCUCACUACAUAUUGUGAGCCACUGAUGACUCAAUUUUCGGCGACAUGAUCACGUACUCACGUUGUAAAACGACACCACUGGCAUUUAUCAACAACAAGCAGAACUGAUAUCUUCCUGACGUUAUAUGUCAUAUAAAUCUGUUAGCUUAAUCUCACGUGUUUCUGUCAUUCCAGUUCAAGCAGGACCAAAGUCUACAGUAGCUAGAGGAUGUUUUAAAAUCUGGGGACUCAAACAAACCGUAUAUAGAACAUCAAAUAAAGUUCAAAAUCGCUAACGUGAGUAAUCAUUCGAGAGCCACGACAACGCUAACAAGCUACUUACAUUUGCAGGCGAUGUUGGCUGAGAGUUCGUCCGCCAUUUUCUUUUUUUUUUCGAGUUGAGUGCCUUCAGAAAACAUGACACCAUUUCCAGAAAAGGAACAUAGUGAGCAUCGACACUCCCUGGUUUUUGUGGUGCAUCGUGGGAUUUUUUUAUGGCGCACACCAGAAGGGUUUUGCGAUUGAGGCAGCCCUCAAAAUGGCCGACGCCCUGAUCAGCGCCCUGACUACUGAACUAGAGAGGUGACCGAGACGCAGCUUUAGUGUUCAUUCGCAGUGACGCGUCUCUCUAAGCGGAGCCAAUUAAACAAAUCCAUAUUAAAAUGAUGAGUCUGGGGGUCUCUCAGAUGUUUUAUCUUGCCAAGUGCACAGUGGUGCUUGAAAGUUGCUACUUGGUCAUUUAUUUAUUAAGGCAAAUGACCCAAUUUUGCACACGUUUGAGUGGCAAAAGUAUGUGAACCUUUGCUUUUCAGUAUCGGUAGUAUUCAGUAGCUACUGAAAGCGGAAGGGGCGGAGCCAAAAGAGGCCGUGGGCGUUUGAAUUUUUCUAAUUGACUUAACGUGAGAACACUGACAUGCAGAAAACAUAACCAAGGAGCGCAGAGUUGAUGUGUUGGGCUUCAAAAAGCUCGGUUUCUGGAUGAUUAGGUGCUCAGUGUAGCAGUCUAGUGCAUAGAGCAGGAUUUGAGACAGUGUGGUGACUGAGUAAAAGCUUUGGGAGAAGGGUUCCAUGUGUGUGUGUGUGUGUGUGAGAAUGAGAAUCACCUCUACUACAGAUGGGAUGAGUGGGAGUGCUCUGCCGGACGUCCGCGAGAGCCUAUUUCCGGAGCAUUCUAGGAAGUCUGUUUCACACAUUAAAAGGCUGUCAUGGAGGUCAGAUACACAUGGUUGGUGUGUGUGUGUGUGUGUGUAUGAGUGUGUGUGUGUGCUCAGAGUUUACCUACAUCCAUCUCCCUAUCUGAGCUCAAGCUUCACAGUAACAGCUCUUCCUGUUGAAUAAUUCAGUAUCAAAAAGCACAGUGCGAUCUAGGAGCAGCGGGGCAGGAAGUAAAAAUAGAGCCAAAAUAAAUGGCUUUGCACAGAGCCGCUCUCCAGCAGCGACUGUGAGCAGGUACAGUCCUGGAUACGCCAUAUGCAGUGUUUCAGCAUCCUACAGUCUACAUUUCCAUGUAUUCGCUUCAGCAGAAGCUUUAAUGCAAAGCAACUUAGACAUGCGUCAGAGUCCAAGUCAAAGCACAGAGCUGUUAAGUAAACUGACACUUUGACAUCUGUCAGAAAAAGCAUCGGUGUGUUGCUGGGGUGGUUCAGGCAUGAUUGUGGGCAACGUUUGAGGGUUGUUUUGUCUCACUUUAGUUGUUAUGAUAGUGAAUGAGCUUUUUAACACGUUGUACUUACUCCUUGGAGCAACAACAUGAGGCAUGUUUUUGACAUUUUGUGAAAGCAGACUAUGGGGUGCCAAUACAUAUGCACCAUUUAAUCUGUUUACAUCAAACCCUGGUUUAUUUUCCGCCUCCAACGCGUCUGAACGAGAUGUUCUCGGUCUACUUCCAGUUAAACUCUAGCGCUGAGAAAGUGAUGUGUGUGUGUGUGUGUGUGUGUGUGUGUGGAUGCGAGCUGCUAAACCAAGCCAUGAAAUGCCAUGUGUUCUGGAUGUUUUUACCAAUGAAAAUGGAGAGAGAAAAAAAAGAGAAUAAACUACACGUGAUACACAAAACGUUAUUGAAUCAUUCCUUGAGGGCCAGCUCCCUGUUCUCCGUGCUCAUGUGAGACUCUGAUUUGUUUACUUUGGUUUAUUUAAUGUGAUCUGCAGUUGCGCAAC
Molecule: long non-coding RNA, 3965 nt
Organism: Ictalurus furcatus (blue catfish)
Lineage: Eukaryota; Metazoa; Chordata; Actinopteri; Siluriformes; Ictaluridae
Exons: 6
Source: RefSeq, a predicted model, not a curated record